AUGUAUAACUAUAUAAAUCCUAAAAACCCUAGUUUCAACAGAGUCGUCGUCCAUUUCAAUUUUCAUAUUUGUAUAAUACGUCGUCAGGCUGUGAUUGGAAGCUGGGAGUAGUAACCUGAAUCUACAAUGGCCAACGGUCCAGCACCCUUUUCAGAUAUUGGCAAACGAGCAAAAGGCAAGUGAUAGGAGUAAAACCCCGUAUCACCGGUUCAAAUAAAACGGUAAAAUAAAAGAUAGAUCUACGGUUCGUUUUGGA
This 256-nucleotide long non-coding RNA is filed under the name Helianthus annuus (common sunflower). RNAcentral's name for it is "hypothetical non coding rna". The record is from RNAcentral. Lineage: Eukaryota; Viridiplantae; Streptophyta; Magnoliopsida; Asterales; Asteraceae.